UUGGCAAAAUACACAAAAUAAUAACCUAAACCUAGACUCUACAUAUAAGAACGCCUAAAUCAGCAAAAGGGAACUAACGCCUAAUACAUUGAAGAAGAGAUCAGAAAUGAGCGCAGCAAUACACAUAUAGAGAGACCCCCCUGUAUCUCGCCCCUUGACAGAAGAAAAAGAGCCAUUUCAAUGGCUUCUUCUUAACAAACACCAGCGAAACCUCACUUCCUUCAACAUCCGAUCUUCCCCACCCAUGAAAUUGCACCUUAGAAUUUCCUGAACCAUCACCCUAAUCUCUAAGGCAUACAUAAAAUCGACUAUGAACCAUAGGAGGAGAAGAGGAAACCGAAAAAUCCCUUCCUCUAGGCCUACUACUACCUCCAAUUUUUCAAAAUCAAAGACCCUCAAACUCUGAUUUUCCAACAUUCAAACAUACACACACACACACACACACGGACAGAAGCAGUGACGAGAAGGAGAGAUCAGUGAGGUGUCCGAUUCAAGGUUCUGUCCGCGGAUCUGAUUCGUCGCCAAGGCUCGACGUUCGCUGCUGUGUUAUCCGGCUUGUCGGAGGUUUUUGUUUGUUAAUACAUUGAAGAAAGGUUAGCACAAUUUUAUACACAGUUGAAUUUAAUUGCGUAUGGUUCCUACUGGAUUCCACUUGUUCAUGAACUCAUUCUGUUUAAGUUAAGAGGAAUUGAACUCCAGAUAAAUCGUGAUUUCAUUACUCAUUUUAUAUGAUUCUUCUGUCGGAUUUGUGCAUCCUCAUGCUAGCAUAGCAAUAUAUGUUGAUUGCUCUCAUUAUUUGAUGAAGUAUUCCAUAAAUGGACUAAAGAGAAUUGUGGCAUCAUAUGCUCUAUUUUUUUAGCUUGUUAGUUUCCUGUAAUUGAUCCUGUUAUGUCAUGGUCUGAUUGAAUUUAAAUUCAGAUCUAAAUGCACUCAUUAUAUUCUGUAUUGCCAAGUGAUUACCAUAGUAAUUAAGGAUGGAGAAGGACUCAUGUGAUUGAGUAUUUGGUCGUGUUUUCGUUGUUCUUUUGUUAUGGUUGAUCUGUUUUGCUCGAUUUUUAUUAAGAUGGAAUGGUGGUUGAUUUGUUGUCCUAGUAGAAUUCUGGCGGAUUUGUGUUUUACUGUGGGAUUUUGGCAAGAUUGUUCUAUUCUCUCAUCAUGUUGAGUUGGUCAUAAAGUUUUGAGAUGAAACAUAAGUCGAGUUUCUUAGAGUUGAGCUAUUUUAUAUUGGUCAUAAAGUUGCUCAAAUUUGAGUUAUUUGAUAUUGGUCAUUCUAUUGUCAAUCUUUUCCUGGGUUGGAGUAUUGAAUAUUCUUUGGUGUCUGACUUCUUAAACGAAAAAUGCUAGGCAACCGUGGUUUGAGAUGAAACAUAAGUCAAGAUCUGUUUAUUUUGAAUUCGCUAGGAGCAUGUUUAGGCCGUCGAAACGUGAAUAGAUGAACCUCUGGGCACGUUUAUAAUAACAAUUACCAUAGCUACGGGUACGGUUCCCGUGACGUAGUUGUGAUACUUAAUACCUAACUAGUUAAAUAUGAAUAUCUGUAGUUCAUUAAGUUGAAUGCUUUUCCUUUAGAAUUCGAGGCGUGCCAUUUAAUUGAAUUUUUAUGGCCCUCGCAAAUUUAAAAACGCGUAGUUGCUUUAGGCGCGUUAUUUUAAUAAAUUACCUUCUUAAUCUCGGGUGCGCAUUCAUGUGACCCAAAUCCAAAUCUCAACAAUGUUAGAUAAAAUAUGUCGAGGACCGCGGGUGCAUUUAUGUGACGUGGUUCAAGACGUGUUUUAAUAACAUUGCAAUCUUCCUAAAAAUGAAUAAAAGCAGUUAAUAAGUUAAAAUUGAACUAUAGGCUAAAACAUGUGUUAAGAUCAGAUAAUAGGCCAACAAUAACAGGUGAGCGACCGUGCUAGCACCAAGGGAUCCGGAAUGCCUAACACCUUCUCCCGGGUUAACAGAAUUCCUUACCCGUAAUUUUUGUGUUCGCGGACGGUAAUACAGAGUCAANNNNNNNNNNNNNNNNNNNNNNNNNUUUCGAUUGUCACUUUAAAUUGGAAAAAACUCUUUUAUACCCUUCUAGGGUGUAGGUAAAAAGGAGGUGUGACAACAAUCAUUACUCACCUCGAACCGGUCAAAGCUCUAGCUCGCGACGCCUUUGCCCCUUGAAUCGGCCUCCACUCGCGUCAACUAUAUCCAAAAUCAGAACGAGGACGUCAAAAUAUGCUAAGGGAACGAAGCCCAAACGAAAAUAAUCAAAAUACAACACAAAUCCCGAAAUUAUCAAAACCCGACCCCCGGGACCAUGUUUCGGAAUUCAAUAAUUUUUACAUCAAUAGAUUCCUUAUGUCCCCACGAGUUCAUACAUAUCAAAAGUUCUCAAAUUCAACCUCAAAUGGUCCUUCAAAUCCUCAAGCAAAGGUCUAAGUUUCCAAGCCCUAGUUUCCCCAAUUUUAGCCCUUAAAUUCCCUUACUCAUAGCUCUAAUCCGUGAAAUAAUAGCAUAGGAACGAGUUUUAGGUCCAAAUUCCUUACCUCAAUGAAGUUCCCUUUAAAUCCCUCUUUCAAAUCGUCCAAAAAGCUCCAAAACCGAGUUAAAAAUGGUGAAAUAGCUCAAAAUUCGCGAAGGUCACAAUUUAUACUUUUUGCCCAGACAUUAUUGCAUAUGCGGUCCUUUAACCGCUUCUGCGGUACCGCAUAUGCGAUCCUUCCUACGCUUCUGCGGAAAUCACUUAACUGGUCAACAAUCGCAUCUGCGACCACACCCCCGCAUCUGCAAUGUCGCAGAUGCGGCCACCCUAACCGCUUCUGCGGUCGCUGCUCAUCAGGACUCUUUUCGCUUCUGCGACAAAUCAACUGCACAUGCGGCACCACACCUGCGGUCCCCAAUCCGCAGGUGUGAAGAUACCAGAAGCAGCAAAAUCAGCAACUGCAACAACAUCCAAACUUGUCCGUUAACCAUUCAAAAUCACCCCGAGGCCCCCGGAACCUCAACCAAAAGCACAAACAUGUCCUAAUACCUUAUUCAAACUUGUUCCAAUCAUCAAAACACCUCAAACAACAUCAAAUCACCCAAAACAUAUCAGAUUCAAGCCAAACUUUCUAAAAUCUUCCAAAUUCCGCUUUUGAUCAAAACCUCAACCAAACCACGUCUGAAUGACCUGAAAGUUUGCACACACAUCCCAAAUGACCCAACAGAACUAUUGGAACUCUCAAAAUUCCAUUCCGACCUCUAUAUCAAAAUCUCGCCUACCAACCGGAAAUCGCCAAAAUACCAACUUCGCCAAUUCAAGCCUAAAUCUACUCCGAACCUCCAAAACUCAUUCCGAUCAUGCUCCUAAGUCCCAAAUCACCUUUGAAACUAACCGAACCAUCAGAACUCACAUCCGAGCCUUCUAACACAUAAGUCAACAUCCGGUUGACUUUUCUAACUUAAACUUCCUUAAAAGAGACUAAGUGUCUCAAACCUUACCAAAAUUAUUACGGAUUCGAUUCAACCAACCCGAUACCACAUAACACGGAUAAACAAAGCAUAAAGAAGCAGAAAUCGGGGAAAAUCGAGCGGUAACUCAUGAGACGACUGGCCGGAUCGUCACAUCAGUCCCACAGCCGCGUUCGUGAAGGUUUAGCACUUUCAUGCCCGCUCCCUUCCUUUUUCGUGUUCACGAGCACUGUAUCGCAUUCGCAUAAGAUUAACCAGCCUUUGUUUUGCAUUCACGUCCUCUGCCUCGCGUUCGCGAAGGCCAAACCAGCAACCCCAAAUAUUUCCUCUUCGCGAACGCAGGACUUCUUUCGCGUUCGCGAAGAAGGAAACCAGACACCAGCAAUCAACAACAGCUUUUCAUCCAAAUUCGAUCCGAAACACACCCAGGGCCCUCGGGAUCCCCUCCAAUCAUACAACCCAGUCCUAUAACAUAUCACGGACCUGCUCGAGGCCUCAAAUCACAUCAAACAAUGCUAAAACCAUGAAUCGCACUCCAAUUCAAGCUUAAUGAACUUUAGAAUUUCAAACAUCUAUAUUCGAUGCCGAAACCUAUCAAAUCAUAUCCGAUUGACCUCAAAUUUUGCACAUAAGCCAUAUUCGACAUUAUAGACCUACCGCAACUUCUGGAAUCGGAAUCCAACUCCGAUAUCAAAAAGUCCACUUCCGCUCAAACUUCUCAAAAACCUUCAAAUUUCUAACUUUAGCCAAAUGACUCCAAAAUGACCUACAGACCUCCAAAUCCACUUCCGAUUGCCCUCCCAAUACCAGAAUCAACAUACGAAGCUAUUCCUGGACUCGGAAUCCCAAACAGACAUUGUUAACACUGAAAUGUACUUCAUCCCAAAUUUAUGAAAUUCAUCCAAAAAUGCUGACUUCCAUGGGCGCCAAAAUGCUUCCGCGUCAUCCAAAACCUGAUCCGGACACACGCCCAAGUCCAAAGCCAUCAUACAAACCUACUGGAACCUUCAAAUCCCGAUUCCGAGGUCGUUUACUCAAAAAUCCAAUCUUAGUCAAUUCUUCCAACUUAAAGCUUUCGAAUAAGGAUUCUCUUUCCAAAUCUACUCCAAACUUCCCAAAAUUUAAUUUCGACUACGCGUACAAGUCAUAAUACCUGAAGUGAAGCGACUCAUGACCUCAAACCGCUGAACGACGUGCUAGAACCCAAAAUGACCGAUCUAGUCGUUACAAAGCUUUAGCGCUGGUAUUUUUGGAAUGUUUCCAUAAUCUUCAAAGUCACCUAAUUCGCGGUUCGUCAUGCCUUCACUCAUGGCUUGUCAGAUUCAUCUACGUGCAGCAGAAACUGGACAAGGCCUGGGAGUUGAGUAUGACAAUGCCGCUGCAGCAAAGAGCUAUCCACCUUGUAAGAGAAGCUAGCACCCCAAUAUAUGAAGCUUGGGCAGAAUCUGCGAAAGAAAGGAAAUUAGAUAGCAUAAAUAGAAUUUGAUAUCAGGUAGAAGUAAAUCCAAGACAUUACUAAUUCUUUGCUACUGCUAAUAUGAUUAUGCUUUCACUAAAGGAGAGUUGACGUCAAUUAUUAAAGACAUGACCCAUGUUUUGUACCCUCUUGAAAUUUUGAAAAGUCUUGCAUAAAUUGUCACAACUUGAGCUGCUUUUAUAGGGGGAUGAUUAGGUUAACCCUUUAGAGACCUAGACGGAGUUAGCCUGGUGAAGAUCUUAUGAGAUUUCUAUUCAAUUGUCAACUUUAUAUCUAAGGAAUGGUCUCAUUGUCCACGUGGGUCCCUUGGCUAAUUUUAACACCGUGUAUUGUAUACUGGUCCAAAGAAAGUUAGUGGAUUAAUUAAAAUGAGCUUGUAGCUAGAUUGUUGGCAAUACCAUGUUGGUUGUUGGAAAGUUGCGCAAAAGAUCAAUUAUAAUUAAACAAUUGUCUUGGUCCGCAACCUAAAAGCCAAGUAUUUUUAUGAUACGUGCAACUUGAUUUAUGUGAGAAAUUGAGUCAACUACUCUACGGGUACUUCAAGCCUCGUCUUUACGGUUGAACAAGUCACACGACAAACUUUGAAGUAAGGGACAUUUGUAGACAUGUAAAAUUAUUGAAUUUAGUCCGUACAAAAUUUGAAUUAAAUUCUAAAUCACUUUGUGUCGAAUAAUUAAUUUAUACUUUACAAAUUAAAUAAGUCCAUUUUAAUAUUUGAGCCCAAGGUCCAUUUCAUCUUAAGGCCCAGACUCAUGCCAUGUGUCAAGUGACAUGGCAUGUCCAGUCAAACCCAAAGCCAACAAGAUGAUGCCACGUGUUAAAUGAUGUGGCAAUCCAAGUCAAAAAUCAAGAACCAACCACAGGUUGCCAAAUGGCUAAAAUGACAUGCGCCAAUUAGAAUCAAGCAAGAGAGUUCAUAUGUAGUUGGAUUGUCCACCCUCUACAACUAUAAAUAGAGGGGUUACAUAACUCUCUGGGGACAUUCAGAGUUGGAGAAUAACAUUUCACAAUUGGUGAAAGUAUCCACAAACAGAGAAAUCAAUCAUCAAGUGCAUAGUUCUUCAACAAAGGAGUGAUCAACAGAGUUCUUCCCGAAUAUCAACCCGUAACAACAAAGUGUUGCUCGACGUUCUUGGCGAUUAAAUACAUCACAAGGAGGUCUACAUCGUCCACAUUCGAGAAAGACGCUUCUCAAGCCCUCGAAUCACGGAGUAUUUUAGAGAGGAGAAUCAAGGGAUAGAUAGAUUUGAACUCACAAAUAUUUAUCAACAAAAUUACUUUUUCUUCAUAUUAUUUUUGUUGCAGUUUAUUUUUUGUAUUACGAAAAUUUGUUGCGAACAGGUACUAAACUUUAAUUACUUGUAAUUAGAAGAUGCACAAAUUUUCAAUACUACCUUUAAUUUGACCAACAAGGUCAGGAUCAGGCACAUCGUUUGUUUAAAUUUAUUUUGAAAAGCUUGUUUUGCUUCAAGAAGAAGAAAUUAUUGUUAAAUCUUCACAUUUUCUUUAAUGUUCCAAAAAAUAUUUUACCAAUUAAAUAAGAAGAAAGCUUUUUUGUGUUUCGCUAGCAUUAAUUUAUCAAGUGAUUCUAUUUAUACCAUGCAGUAUGUAACUUUUCUAAUCGUGUGUUUCAAGCUAAGUAUACCUGAAAUAAAAUAAUAUCAGGUUCAACUACACCAUCCCCAGUUAGAUAGAGUCGUAAUCGGGAUUUAUGUAUUUGUAAAACAGUAGAAUAUCAAUUAAUUAUCUUAAUGCCUUGCAAGUUUAAGGGGAGUUAACAGUAUCUUUCAAAUUGACUCGAAAAUUGAACGUCUCCCUAUUUAUGUUGCUUCAAUCUGGAGAUUUAUACAACUCACGUAUAAUUACAAUAUCAUACCAUUUAAAUACAAUUUCUAUACAAUAUGUCUUUUGUAUAUUUUGUAUCUGAUUUAUACAUAGUAAAAAUAAAUUUCAUACAACUAAUUAUAUAUUAUACAACUUGUCUACAACUUAUUUACAACUUUCAUACAUUAUUUCUACCCAGUUAUAUAUAACUACAAUAUCAUACAACUUACAUAUAAUUUUUAUACAAUAUUGUUCAACUUUCAUAUAAUAUUUAAAUAAAAAUAUAUAUAUAAACAACAUAAUAUAAUUUUUCUAUAAAUUUUCUACAACUUUACUAUAAUUUCGUAAGUAUAAUGUAUGUCAUGUGUAACGACCCGGCCGAUCGUUUUAAGAAUUUACGCCAUGAUCCCCUAUUAACUGCUUUCCCCGUGUUUGUUUCUGCCAUUGUGAGUUGCCGGGAUGCUUGGCUUUGAGUUUCGGAGAGUUUUGGGACACUUAUUCCCUAAAUGAGAGCUUAAGUUUUGGAAAUUUGACCGUAGUCGGAACAAUAUAAAGUCAACCUCGGAAUGGAAUUCUGAUGGUUCCGUUAGCUCAGUUGGGUGAUUUCCGGUUUAGGAGCGUGUUCGGAUUGUGUUUUGGAGGUCCGUAGAUAAUUUAGGCUUGAAAUGCUGAAAGUUGAAUUUUUGAAGUUUCCGGUUCGAUAGUGAGAUUUUGAUCCGAGGGUCGGAAUGGAAUUCCGGAAGUUGGAGUAGCUCCGUAGUGUUUAAUGUGAUGUGUGUGCAAAAUUUCAGGUCAUUCGGACGAGGGUUGAUAGACUUUUUGAUCGAAAGCGUGAUUUGAGAGUUUUUGGAAUUCUUAGGCUAGAUCCGAUGAAAAAUUGGUAUUUUGAUGUUGUUUUGAGCGUUCCGAAGGUUGGAACAAGUUUGAAUGAUGUUAUGGGAUAUGUUGGUAGGUUUGGUUGAGGUCCCGAGGGCCUCGGGUGUAUUUCGGAUGCUCAGACGGUCACUUUUGGUCUUUGGGAGAUUGCUGGUUUUCUAGUAUUUUAGCAGCAGUGAUUUGUUCAUUGUGAUCGCCUGAGUUCAUCCGCGAUUGCGUAGAGUAAGUUGAGGCCAGGUAGAUUUCUUUGAAUCGCGAUCGCGAAGGUAGGAGUGCGAUCGAGUAGGGUGAGCAGUAUUGGUCAAAGAGCUCGCGUGGAGAGCUUUGUGUUUGCGUAGAAGGACUUGGAGUGGCAGUGAGGUGAUGGAAUUACUCUAUGCGAUCGCAUAGAGCUGGUCGCGAUUGCAUUAUUGUGCGGAAAUUGCCUUAUGCGAUCGCAUAGGUAUUUCUGUGAUCGCAUAGGGUUAAAUCUGGGUAGUAUUUAAAUAGCACAUCUGCGACCCUUCUUCAUUUUUCCACCAUUUUUGAACGGGAUUAAAGCUUUUGAGGGAGCUUUUUGAGGAAACAAAAGGGGAAUUACUUAGAGGUAACAUUUUUGACUUCAUAACUCAUUUUUAUGUAAUUAAAGUUCUAAUUGGUGGUGAAAAAAUUAGGGAAAUCAGUACAAAAUGGGGUAAUUAGGGCUUGGGAUUAAGAGACCUUAAAAUGGGUAUUUGAGGGGUCAAUUGAACUUUAAUUUUAGUGUUUUUGAUAUGUAUAGACUCGGGAGAGUGUGAGAAUUCUGAAAAUAUAAAUUUUACCCGAUUCCGAGAUGUGGGCCCGAGGGGCGUUGUGAUCAUUUUACCUAAUUUUCGCGUAUUAGCUUAGAAUUUCUUUGUAGAAUCAGUUACUUGAAGUGUUAUUUACAUUAUGCAAUUGAAUUGAAUAGAUUUGUGCCAUUUGGAAUCGAGUACUCGUGGCAAAAAUAUGGUUUCGGGUUGACUUUGAGCCGGUUCGAGGUAAGUGGCUUGCCUAACCUUGUGUGGGGGACCUUCCCCUUAGGAUUUUGUAUUAUUGAUAAUUGAAAUGCCUUGUACGUAAGGUGACGAAUGCGUACUUGUGCUAAUUGUUGAAAAUCCGAUUUUCAUUAAGUAAUUACUAGUAUGUUUCUUUUCCUGUUUAUACUACUUGCAAUUUAAGCCUGUUGUUAGCUUAGGAAAGCAUGUCUAAUUGGCUUAAUUGUCUUACUUGCUCAAACUACCUUAUUUGGAUUACGUGCAGCAUGCUAGGUUAGAAAUACCUGUUUUGCCUUGGUAUGGAACUUGAAUUGAAGUGUGUACUCUUCUGGUUGUUGCUGUGUGUUUACUUUGCGACUAUAGGACGGUAUCUCGGGAGAUCCCCCGGUAUGCUUACUUUGGGACUACGGAACGGUAUUCUGAGAGAUCCCCCUGCACAUUUACAUUAGAACUACGGGACUUCACCUGGUAGAUUUCCCCUGUAUUAAGAAUUUACAUUUGGGACUACAGAUCGGUAUUCCGGGAGAUCCCUUCGUAUUAUGAGUUAGACUACGGGACGGUAUCCCGGGAGAUCCACUGGAUAUUUAUAUUUGGGACUACAGGACGGUAUCUUGGGAGAUCCCUGGUUGUUAUCUUUGUGCUGAUCUGUAUUUCUUUCUGUGUUCACUUGGCCUCUAUAGUAGUUGUUGUUGUCUUUUAUAUCUUGUGCUACUUUUACCGUUGUACUUACUUAUACUGUUUUUUAUUCUACACUGUUCAACCUUAUAUUUUAUUUAACCUCAGUAGGGUCCUGACCUUCCUCGUCACUACCCGACCGAGGUUAGGCUUGGCACUUACUGAGUACUGUUGUGGUGUACUCAUGCCCUUUCUGCGCAUGUUUUUCAUGUGCAGAUCCAAGUACUUCCACUCAGACUUAUCACGCUUGAGACGAGGCGCUUGUAGAGACUCCGAGGUAUAUCUGCCGCAUCUGCAGACCGAAGAGUCCCUUUCUACUCUCCCUUUUAUAUUAGUCCUUCUGUACUUUUGUUUUCUUUGUUAGAUAUUCUUGGGUUAGAUGCUUGUAGACAUUAAAAGGCUUGUGAUCAUGAGAUUCCGGGUUUUGGGAAACAUUAGUAGUUUUGAGAGUUGAUAUUGUGUAUGCCAAGCGGCACUUUUAAAAAUUAUUUUAUUUCACUAUUUCGGUUUUUAAAUAUUUCUUCCGCAAAUUGGUUUAUUUUUCCUCAUUGUUAGGUUUACCUAGUCGUAGAGACUAAGUGCCGUCACGAUGGUUCACGGAGGACUAACCGGGGUCGUGACAUCAUGUCUUCUUCUUCUUCUUCUUCUUCGAGUUUCAAUCUGAAAUUCAGCCAAAAUCAAAUCUAAUCUUCACCAAAACACCCUCAAAAUUGAGAUUAUAACUCCAAACAAUAUUUCGAAUUGUUUGCAACAACACAUAAUCCAAACAAAUAAUUAUUUUUGAAAACUCAAAUUCGAAUUUAAAACUUCAAACCUUUUUAUUGGCUGUCAAUGGUGGAAUUACUACUCUCUUACUAGAAUUAGGGCUGAUCUUCGAAAGUGUUUUCUUCUUCAUUGAAAGUUAAGCAAGUAACAGGCGUUAAUGGAGGUGUGUGGUAGAGUAUUUAGAGUUUGAAUCUAUAAAAUGGAGAGGAAUUUUUGAAGAAGAUUGAAAAAAUAUAGAGGGACUUUUGAAGAAGAGUGAAAACAGGGGUUAAUAGAGAGAGAUACUGAAGAUACAUGGGGAGAGGGGUGUAUGGAGAGAGAAACAUGGGGAGAGUGGGAUAUAGACGUUAGAGUGGUUUUAGGAUUUAAUUAUUAUCAUUAAAUGCCUAAAAAUGUAUAUAAUUGGUAAUUUUGUAUAUAUUAUGUAAUUAGAUUAAAAAUUAAAUAAGGAGGAUAAUAAAGUUUCCAAUAGUGUAUAGAUAUGUAAAAAUCUCAAUCCAAAAUUCGAAGCCCACCAUCUAUAUUUUGACUACAAUUGUGGAAGAAUAGUAAAUUUUAUUUCGAUACUAUAGAAAGUUCAUGAUUCUUUGUUAUCGUCAACAUAUUCCGUUAGAAAAAAACAUAAAUAUUAGGAAAUAUUAUUAUGAAUAUAUUAUAGUUAUGUUAUAUAAGGUAAAAUUUUAAUGGAAUUCAAAGUCCUAACUAUUAGGAGUUUCUAUAUAACUCAAAAGAUUUAAUGACUAAAUUUUAGAUAAUUCCAAAUUUCAAAAUACUAAGAAAUUAAAUUAUAAUUUUGUCCAAUGUAAAAUCGAUUUUUAAAGGAAAAAAAAGGCGAACAACAUUUCGCUAAGGGCAUUCGUGUUUUUAAUAUAGUACUAGUCUUAUGGUACACACGUUGCGCGUGUACCUUGUGGCGCUAAGUAAAAUAUUUUAAAAACCCAUAUAAAUAUUAUUAAAAAAUUAAGUUUUGAGUCAUAAAAUAGAAUUUAAAGAAAAUAGUGUAAAUUUCUAAAAAUAAUGAAUGUUCUUUCUAUUUUACUAACUCAAUAAUGAAAGAUAUAUUGUUUCACAUAAGUCCACAUAGCCUUAACCGGAAGUCUAUUCCAAUCAUUCAGCUAUGCAGUAUUAUUAUUCAAAUGGAAUUUGUAUCUAAAAUUCUAUUUGUAAUAGUUAACUUUAAAUCACAAAAAAAUUCAUACAAGUUUAGACUCCACUUCAAAUGAUAUUAUCGCAUUUAAUUUACAAAUGAUGUUGAUAUAUGUCCUCUCUUAUCAUUUGGACAGCUUUGUCACAAGAACAAUCUUACUAUUACUACUCAUACUUGUCUCUAAUUUUAUAGUUAUAUCACAAUCAAAGGAAAUAAUUAAAUAAGGUAAACUUUAACGUGAUUUUUAAGUUUUAAAUAUUAGGAUUUAUACCAUAAUUCAAAUAAAGAAAAUAUUGUUAAUUUAAAUGUGACGACCUGGCUAGUCGUCUCAUGAGAUAUCGCUCUGUUUUCCCCAUUUUUGCUUCUUUAUGAUUUGUUUAUUCAUGUUACGUGGUACCGGGUUGGUCGGAUCGAAUCAGACAUAUUUUUGGUAAGGUUUGAGACACUUGGUCUGUUUUAAGGAAACUUAAGUUAGAAAAGUCAAUCGGAUGUUAACUUAAGUGUUAGAUGGCUCGGAUGUGAGUUCUGAUGGUUCGGUUAGAUUUGAAAGGUGAUUUGUGACUUAGGAGCGUGAUCGGAAUGAAUUUUGGAGGUUCGGAGUAGAUUUAGGCUUGAAUUGGUGAAGUUGUUAUUUUGGCGAUUUCCGGUUGGUAGGCGAGAUUUUGAUAUAGGGAUUGGAAUGGAAUUUCGAGAGUUGCAGUAGUUUUGUUGGGUUAUUUAGAAUGUGUGUGCAAAAUUUUAGGUCAUUCGGACGUGGUUUGGUUGGGUUUUUGAUCAAAAGCGUAAUUUUGAAGAUUUUGGAAUUCUUAGGCUUGAAUCUGAUGCGAUUCGGUGUUUUGAUGUUGUUUUGAGCAUUCCGAAGGUUGAAACAAGUUUGAAUGAGGUUUUAGGAUAUGUUGGUGCCUUUGGUUGAGGUUCCGGGGGCCUCGGGUGAGUUUUGGAUGGUCAAUCGGACCAUUUCAUACCUUGUAGAAGUUGCAGAAUUGUAGGUUCAGCUGUUGCAGAGAUUCCUUCUCUGCGAUCGCGUAAGGGGUCCUGCAAUCGCAUAGAAGCUUUUGAGGUGCAGUCCAGUUUGUUCUUCGCGAUUGCGAAGGUUGGGUUGCGAUCGCAUAGAGGUGAGGAAGUUGUUGAUCGCGAACACGUGGAGUGGGUCGCGUUCGCGUAGAGUUAAGUAAACCUGGGGUCUGGGCUUGAAUUUAUUCAUGGCGAACGCGGUAGGCAGUCUGCGAUCGCGUAGAGUUAGUUUCUUGAGCAUCGCAUUUGCAGGUGAUUGUACACAUUCUCAUAGAGUAAUUUUUGGGAGCUGAGAAUUUGUGCUUCGCGAUCGCGAUGAAAGAAAAUAGGCUUGGGCAGAAGGUUUAAAAAGUCGUCUUGUCCGCGAAUAUGGGGUUUAUUUCUUUCAUUGUUGGUCGUUUGUGGAGCUUUUUGAAGGAGAUUGAAGAGGGAUUCAAGGGGAAUCACUUGGAGGUAAGAUUCUUGGACUUAAACUCGAUUCUACUGUGAAUUCUACCUAAUAAAUCAUGGAAUCUAAGCCUAAAAUUGAGGAAUUAGGGCUUGAGAUUUAUAGCCUUUAAAUGAGGAUUUGAGGGGUCAUUUGGACUCCGAUUUCAGUGUUCUUGAUAUGUAUAGACUCGUGGGAGGAUAAGGAUUCCGGUGAUGUAAUUUUUAUCAAGUUUCGAGAUGUGGUCCCGGGGGUCGGGUUUGGCCAAUUUCGAGAUUUUUGGUAUUAUUUGAUUGUUUUCGCUUGGACUUCGUUCCCUUAGCAUAUUUUGACGCCGUAAUUCUAAUUUUGGAUAGAUUCGAUGCGAGUGGAGGUCGAUUUGAGGGGCAAAGGCAUCGCGG
Molecule: long non-coding RNA, 13024 nt
Filed under: Nicotiana tabacum (common tobacco)
Lineage: Eukaryota; Viridiplantae; Streptophyta; Magnoliopsida; Solanales; Solanaceae
Description: long non-coding RNA (NTAB_LNC010415)
Source: RNAcentral